Molecule: ribosomal RNA, 253 nt
Filed under: uncultured bacterium
Lineage: Bacteria
Description: partial 16S ribosomal RNA
Rfam family: Bacterial small subunit ribosomal RNA
Source: RNAcentral
UACGUAGGGCGCAAGCGUUGUCCGGAAUUAUUGGGCGUAAAGAGCUCGUAGGCGGUUUGUCGCGUCUGUCGUGAAAGCUUGGGGCUUAACCCCAAGUCUGCGGUGGAUACGGGCAGACUAGAGGCAGGUAGGGGAGAACGGAAUUCCCGGUGUAGCGGUGAAAUGCGCAGAUAUCGGGAGGAAGGCCGGUGGCGAAGGCGGCGCUCUGGAACGGCCCUGACACUGAGGCUCGAAAGCGUGGGGAGCAAGCAGG